ACAUUUUCUAGAACUUCUGUUACCUUGAACAUUUUAAAAUCGGAAACGUCAUUUAUUUUUGUAUGUACAGAUGUGUUCCGUUUAUUGUAUUCUUGUUUCCAUCCCUCAGUUUCAACACAUAGUUCAAUGAAUCGUUUGAAGUCACUAUCUUCAGCUACUUUAACUUCUCCAGACUGCAUUUUCUUGUGUUUUGUCACGAAAUCGUCUAUAAAACUACAAAUCAAAGCUUCUAUUUUGAUAACAACCACCUGUUUGUUGGUGACUUGUCACUUUUUACCGUAAAUUUUA
RNAcentral lists this long non-coding RNA (288 nucleotides) under Mytilus galloprovincialis (Mediterranean mussel). Lineage: Eukaryota; Metazoa; Mollusca; Bivalvia; Mytilida; Mytilidae. The record is from RNAcentral.